RNAcentral lists this transfer RNA (62 nucleotides) under Tetraclita kuroshioensis. RNAcentral's name for it is "tRNA-Cys". The record is from RNAcentral. Lineage: Eukaryota; Metazoa; Arthropoda; Thecostraca; Balanomorpha; Tetraclitidae.
AGUGAUAUAUUUUAAGAAAAAUACCAUUUUGCAAAAAUGGAGUUACUACCAAGUUUUCACUU